UGGGGAAUAUUGGACAAUGGGCGAAAGCCUGAUCCAGCCAUGCCGCGUGUGUGAAGAAGGUCUUCGGAUUGUAAAGCACUUUAAGUUGGGAGGAAGGGCAGUAACCUAAUACGUUUCUGUCUUGACGUUACCGACAGAAUAAGCACCGGCUAACUCUGUGCCAGCAGCCGCGGUAAUACAGAGGGUGCAAGCGUUAAUCGGAAUUACUGGGCGUAAAGCGCGCGUAGGUGGUUUGUUAAGUUGGAUGUGAAAGCCCCGGGCUCAACCUGGGAACUGCAUCCAAAACUGGCAAGCUAGAGUACGGUAGAGGGUGGUGGAAUUUCCUGUGUAGCGGUGAAAUGCGUAGAUAUAGGAAGGAACACCAGUGGCGAAGGCGACCACCUGGACUGAUACUGACACUGAGGUGCGAAAGCGUGGGGAGCAAACAGGAUUAGAUACCCCCGUAGUCCCUGAGCGGGCUGGCAAGGCGCAU
Molecule: ribosomal RNA, 472 nt
Filed under: uncultured bacterium
Lineage: Bacteria
Description: bacterial SSU rRNA
Rfam family: Bacterial small subunit ribosomal RNA
Source: RNAcentral